RNAcentral lists this long non-coding RNA (488 nucleotides) under Homo sapiens (human). Its description in RNAcentral is "SLC12A2 divergent transcript". Lineage: Eukaryota; Metazoa; Chordata; Mammalia; Primates; Hominidae. The record is from RNAcentral.
GGAUUUCCUCUGUGCAGCUUUCGAGCGGUAGACUCACCCUGCCAGGCAGACCUAGAUUGGCAUAACCAGAGAUCAGUUCCAGUUGUGAUGCAGUGGGUGUCUACACACUUCUGAUGACACCUUUAUUUUAAAAGCUGAUGUUCCAAGAUUUUUAGGGCAGUUUUUAGUGUCAUUAUGUUGCUGCUACAUAUUUGGAAGAUGGAACAAGCCCAGACAAAGGAGGAUUCUUUUUUACUCAUCUUAAAUCCAUUUUAUUUUCCUUCAUCUGAGCCCCUUAAAACUAAUGUGUUACUGGAAUGGAUUUUCUUCUGUGUAUUGCUGACACGAACAGGAGACGGAAAUACUGAGUAGAAGAGGGCGGUUCCCUGGCUAAGGCCCCACCCUCAAGCCUGGAUACCCGCGGCCCUAAAUGAGAAGAGGCGUUUCUGUUUGGGGCCCAAAAAGUUGCUUUUUGACCCACCACGCCCCCUAUCCUGCCCCCAUAUAAA